Molecule: ribosomal RNA, 500 nt
Filed under: uncultured bacterium
Lineage: Bacteria
Description: partial 16S ribosomal RNA
Rfam family: Bacterial small subunit ribosomal RNA
Source: RNAcentral
AUUGAACGCUGGCGGAAUGCUUUACACAUGCAAGUCGAACGGCAGCACGGGGGCAACCCUGGUGGCGAGUGGCGAACGGGUGAGUAAUACAUCGGAACGUGCCCAGUCGUGGGGGAUAACGUAGCGAAAGUUACGCUAAUACCGCAUACGAUCUACGGAUGAAAGCGGGGGACCGUAAGGCCUCGCGCGAUUGGAGCGGCCGAUGUCAGAUUAGGUAGUUGGUGAGGUAAAGGCUCACCAAGCCGACGAUCUGUAGCUGGUCUGAGAGGACGACCAGCCACACUGGGACUGAGACACGGCCCAGACUCCUACGGGGGGCAGCAGUGGGGAAUUUUGGACAAUGGGCGCAAGCCUGAUUCAGCCAUUCCGCGUGCAGGACGAAGGCCUUCGGGUUGUAAACUGCUUUUGUACGGAACGAAAAGGCUCUGGUUAAUACCUGGGGCUCAUGACGGUACCGUAAGAAUAAGCACCGGCUAACUACGUGCCAGCCGCCGCGGUAA